AUCGCUUUACAAAUGCUCUCUUUCUCGACAUCAAUAAUGCACUUCUUCGGUUUUUUCUUUGUGAUCCCCGACAGGAUGUGCUUGGUCAUCGAGUACGCGAUGGAGCGGGCGUGAUUCUGCCGGAAACACGGAAUCCAGCGCGAGGUACUACUUCAUGAACACGGCGGUUAUCCUUAACUACUCUCUUUAAGUGUAGUUUUUAUCCGAUUUUUUCAUAUAUUGCCAAAAAAAGCCUAUAUCUGAAAACUGCGCCGACUGGAUGAUACUGGCAGCGGUGUGUAACUGGUAUGCGAGGCCGACAUUUUGUUGCGGCUCACUGGGAAGAAGCACUUGUGUCAGACGGCAGGAGUGUGUUUCCUUCGGCAUUGUGUCAUGCCACAAAUAUAUUGCACUCAUGCCAAACAGGCUGCACACACGUCAAAAAGCUGCGGUUGCCUCUGGUCAUGAAGCAUGCAGUCAGUGGAUUUCUCUGGGCUCCAUCUCCAUCGUGCAGUGGCAUUGACUAGCCCUUGGCCGCUGAAAUCCAACUCUCCGGCAUGAACACGAUGCAUUUCACCUUUCUCUAUUUGCGAAAACUUUCAUGAAGUCACAAGCAACGACUGUUGGAAAGGCCGUGC
Molecule: long non-coding RNA, 617 nt
Filed under: Toxoplasma gondii VEG
Lineage: Eukaryota; Apicomplexa; Conoidasida; Eucoccidiorida; Sarcocystidae
Source: RNAcentral